AUUGCUUCUCGGCCUUUUGGCUAAGAUCAAGUGUAGUAAUAUUAAAAUUUUACCUGGAUUGAAACAUAUUUGCUAAUUUCUUUUGUUCUACCAAUUAGAAGGAUUAUUUUCAUCUGCUACCUUCUAGCAGGAUAAACAAGCAGAAA
This 146-nucleotide small nuclear RNA is filed under the name Mus musculus (house mouse). Its description in RNAcentral is "U2 spliceosomal RNA". It matches the Rfam family "U2 spliceosomal RNA". Rfam says of the family: U2 is a small nuclear RNA (snRNA) component of the spliceosome (involved in pre-mRNA splicing). Complementary binding between U2 snRNA (in an area lying towards the 5' end but 3' to hairpin I) and the branchpoint sequence (BPS) of the intron results the bulging out of an unpaired adenosine, on the BPS, which initiates a nucleophilic attack at the intronic 5' splice site, thus starting the first of two transesterification reactions that mediate splicing. Lineage: Eukaryota; Metazoa; Chordata; Mammalia; Rodentia; Muridae. The record is from Rfam by way of RNAcentral.